UGCAGUCGAACGAGAAAGUACCCUUCGGGGUGCGAGUAAAGUGGCGAACGGGUGAGUAACACGUGGGUAACCUACCUUUGAGUGGGGAACAAUCCCUCUAACGAGGGGCUAAUACCGCAUAAUGCAGCGGCUCCGCAUGGAGACAGUUGUUAAAGGGGCAGCUUCGGUUGUCUCGCUUGAAGAUGGACCCGCGGUCCAUUAGCUUGUUGGUGAGGUAACGGCUCACCAAGGCAACGAUGGAUAGCCGGCCUGAGAGGGUGUACGGCCACACUGGAACUGAGAAAGGUCCAGUCCCCUACGGGGGCCAGCAGUCUAGAAAUUUGCGCAAUGGGCGAAAGCCUGACGCAGCGACGCCACGUGGAGGAUGAAGCCCUUAGGGGUGUAAACUCCUGUCAGAAGGGAAGAAUGCAGGAAAUAACUUUUCCUGUUUGACGGUACCUUCAGAGGAAGCCCCGGCUAACUUCGUGCCAGCAGCCGCGGUAAUACGAAGGGGGCAAGCGUUGUUCGGAUUUACUGGGCGUAAAGGGCGUGCAGGCGGACCGAUAAGUCGUCUGUGAAAUCUGUCGGCUCAACCAACAACUUGCAGUCGGAACUAUCGGUCUUGAGUACAGGAGAGGAGAGCGGAAUCUCAGGUGUAGCGGUGAAAUGCGUAGAUAUCUGGGAG
This 664-nucleotide ribosomal RNA is filed under the name uncultured bacterium. Its description in RNAcentral is "bacterial SSU rRNA". It matches the Rfam family "Bacterial small subunit ribosomal RNA", at positions 56 to 704 of the family's 1533-position model. The record is from RNAcentral.